This is a long non-coding RNA of Camellia sinensis, 795 nucleotides long. RefSeq lists it as uncharacterized. Lineage: Eukaryota; Viridiplantae; Streptophyta; Magnoliopsida; Ericales; Theaceae. The record is from RefSeq and is a predicted model, not a curated record.
AACGGUCAACCUAUCUCACCUUCAUCCCCGUACCCAACCCAACCGUACACUCCCAUUUCCUCGUCCUCACCUCUCUAUUAUGGCGGCGAAACCAAUAUAAAAGCUUCACACCAUUGAAAUUCAAAACCAAAAUCAUCAUCAACAAACUGUCUCAACAAAUCAUCAGACAUUAUAGUAUACCCACUUCUCAAACCUCGGUUAUAUAGAUCGAUCAAUUGACAUGUCUGGUGGCGUGAAGAUAGUGAUCAUCAAUACAGAGUAUGUAGAAACCGAUGCCACCAGCUUCAAGUCCGUCGUUCAGAGACUCACUGGCAAAGAUUCCACUGUGGGGUUGGGCCGGGGAGUUGAGCCGACUUCUCGGGGCUUGGUUACCGGAGGAAGGGCGGUGGUAGAGGCAAGUGAGGUCGUUGAAAGGUCCGGUGGUGGUGGCAGUGGUUCAAUUAUGUCAAAAGUAGUGUCGUUCAAGGAUUUUGAUAGAAUGCUCAUGGAAAUGCCGCCUAUGGAUGAACUUUAUCGGCUAUUUACGGAUUGACGCGGUGGGAAGAGGUUAAAUUAGUCCAAAAGACACGUGGCAUUCUCUUAUUCAUUUGGAAGUUAAAAAAAGUUAUAAAGAUAAUGGAGAAUAUGAAGGACAAAGUGGAUGAGUGGAAUGACACAUGGCAAGACAAGAAUGAAGAUGAAAGAAAUUGGUAGUUACUGAGUAGUUAUUGCUGUAUUUUUUCUUCUAUAAAUAGCCAUUAAUGGCUACAUUGUAAAGGAUCCAGAAUUCAUAAUCAAAGACACUUAAUUUCAAUA